CCGCCCUGCUCCCUUCCCCAUCCUGGAUCCCGUGUGCUCCCUGCCAUAUCGGUACCCAGCCCCCAGUGCUGAGGGUCAGGGCCCACUAGCUCAGUAGCCCCCAUCUCACGCAAGCCCCCUCACCUCUGGACUGGGGGGCGAGGCCAGGGCUGCACAGGGCCUGGAGCAGCAGCAGCAGGCUGCAGAGCAUGAGGCUAGUGCCAGAGAGGACCCUCAUAGUUCUGGCAGCACGGGCAGCAGCCGGCACGGUUGUGGGACCAGUGGGGUCCAGGUCUUAUCAACCCCACUGCCCGCCCAGCCUUUGGGUCAGGUGGCCCCCAACUGACGACUGACGUGGGGGCAGCCCGCCCUGGCCCCCAGCCCCCCCAAAGGGCGGGGCUUGGGCUGAAUGGAGGUGUGUGUGCCCUGAGAGGGCGGGAGAGCCUGGCCCAGGCUUCAGAGGCCCCUCUGACCACAAGGGCUCCUUUGCUUGCAGAAGCAACUAGAGCGGCAGCUGGAAUUUGGGAAAUCUCAGGUGGGUGGGGGGUGGCUCUUCCAGGGGCUGGAGCCCGCGCUGCCUUGAAGCUCCACCCCAAGCCUAGGCAUACCUGAGUCCAAUGGCCCGGCCCAGCCCUGUCCUGCACCUUCAUCCCACACCCAAAUCCUUCCCCCACUCACAACCCCAAGUUUCUCAUUAAAUUCACUUCCCCUUCCCCAGCCUCACUGUGCCCUGCUCUCCGCACACGCCCUGCUCUCCAGCUACCCCUGGAUUCUCCUCGAAGGCCUCCAGGCCAUCACACAUGCAGGGCCAUCUGCCCAGAAUCCUUUCCUCUCACUAACUCUCUGCCUUGUAGAAUCUUUCAAGGUCAUAAUUAGGGCUAACAUGUACCUUCACUGUUAGUAUGGGCAGGGCAGUGGAGACCAUGGUUAAGAGCACAGACUUGGGAGCCAGGUUACCUGGGUUUGCUAUACCAGCAAACCACCUGUGUGACCAUGGGCAAGUGACUUCACCUCUCAUGUCUCAGAUUGCUCAUCUGGAAACUAGGGAUGGUAAUAGCGCCUCCUAGGGUUGAUUCAAGGAGCAAAGGAGUUAGAUGAGGUUUCUCAGUUAAUCCUCUUGACAACUUUUUAAAGCAGCUACUGUUAAAGAACAGAGAGGUAAAAUAACUUGUCUGAAGUUACACAGCUAAGAAGUGUUAUUGCCAGGAUAGAGCCCCAGGCCCGGCUCUCAGCCAUGCUGCUGUCUCAGUGUAGCUUGAUGUAGGUGGCUUCUCCCUGCCCAUCUCUUCCCCCUGUGGGUCCCUGCUUGGCCCACCUCACCUGUCAGCCAGUGGAUUCAACUCUGCAUCAGGCCCAGCACAGAGAAGGCAAAGAUAAAGCCUUCUAAACAAAGUAACAUCAGCAGGAACGAUCCCCUUCUUUGCAUUUGGGUCAAGUAGUUCAUGAGAUAGAGCAGAAAGAGCAUGGGCUUGGCUACCUGAGAGAUCCAGGUUCAAAGCCACUUCUGCUCCUAACUGGCUGUGUGACCUGGAGCUGGUGACUUAACCUCUCUGAGCCUCAGCUUGCCAUGGUGCAGUGGGAAUGGUCGUUCUUGAUCUGCCUGCCCCAUGUGAGGGGCAAGAGGGGGACAGAAGUGGAAAUGGAGUUAAAGGAUUGUCAUUGCUCCAGGAGGCAGAAUCCUAAGACUUGGGACCUAUGCACUUCACUCUGUGUAAAUUAUACCUCAAUAAAAGGAAAUGUACAGACAAAAA
This 1730-nucleotide long non-coding RNA is filed under the name Homo sapiens (human). RNAcentral describes it as "HSALNT0004155". The record is from RNAcentral. Lineage: Eukaryota; Metazoa; Chordata; Mammalia; Primates; Hominidae.